Molecule: ribosomal RNA, 513 nt
Filed under: uncultured prokaryote
Description: bacterial SSU rRNA
Rfam family: Bacterial small subunit ribosomal RNA
Source: RNAcentral
ACAUGCAAACUCAAAGGAAUUGACGGGCUGACUCCCGUAGGAGUAGAAGAAAAGGUUCUGUUUAAUACCUGGGACUCAUGACGGUACCUGAAGAAUAAGCACCGGCUAACUACGUGCCAGCAGCCGCGGUAAUACGUAGGGUGCAAGCGUUAAUCGGAAUUACUGGGCGUAAAGCGUGCGCAGGCGGUUAUGCAAGACAGAGGUGAAAUCCCCGGGCUCAACCUGGGAACUGCCUUUGUGACUGCAUGGCUAGAGUACGGUAGAGGGGGAUGGAAUUCCGCGUGUAGCAGUGAAAUGCGUAGAUAUGCGGAGGAACACCGAUGGCGAAGGCAAUCCCCUGGACCUGUACUGACGCUCAUGCACGAAAGCGUGGGGAGCAAACAGGAUUAGAUACCCUGGUAGUCCACGCCCUAAACGAUGUCAACUGGUUGUUGGGAGGGUUUCUUCUCAGUAACGUAGCUAACGCGUGAAGUUGACCGCCUGGGGAGUACGGCCGCAAGGUUGAAACUCAAA